UGAAAUAGCGCGCGCAUUAUGUA
This 23-nucleotide non-coding RNA is filed under the name Arabidopsis thaliana (thale cress). Lineage: Eukaryota; Viridiplantae; Streptophyta; Magnoliopsida; Brassicales; Brassicaceae. The record is from RNAcentral.